This 470-nucleotide ribosomal RNA is filed under the name uncultured bacterium. Its description in RNAcentral is "bacterial SSU rRNA". It matches the Rfam family "Bacterial small subunit ribosomal RNA", at positions 335 to 798 of the family's 1533-position model. The record is from RNAcentral.
ACUCUACGGGAGGCAGCAGUGGGGAAUAUUGCACAAUGGGCGCAAGCCUGAUGCAGCCAUGCCGCGUGUAUGAAGAAGGCCUUCGGGUUGUAAAGUACUUUCAGCAGUGAGGAAGGUGGGUAUGUUAAUAGCAUAUUCAUUUGACGUUAGCUGCAGAAGAAGCACCGGCUAACUCCGUGCCAGCAGCCGCGGUAAUACGGAGGGUGCGAGCGUUAAUCGGAAUUACUGGGCGUAAAGCGCAUGCAGGUGGUUUGUUAAGUCAGAUGUGAAAGCCCGGGGCUCAACCUCGGAAUUGCAUUUGAAACUGGCAAACUAGAGUACUGUAGAGGGGGGUAGAAUUUCAGGUGUAGCGGUGAAAUGCGUAGAGAUCUGAAGGAAUACCGGUGGCGAAGGCGGCCCCCUGGACAGAUACUGACACUCAGAUGCGAAAGCGUGGGGAGCAAACAGGAUUAGAUACCCGGGUAGCGUAG